CCCCAACAAGUUUCAGAAUGUUACAAAAAAGUAAAUGUAGUAUAACUCGAUCGUUUGGACUCCAAUGAUGCACGGUCAGAAGCUACGGAUUUUUGGCAUCGACGGGAAUCAUAUCAAGUGAGAAUAAAUAUAUCAGCUCUUCAUAACAGGUGGGGAUCUAGGAUUAUUUCCUGCUUUAAAUCGUAGAACUGAAUGUAUGAUGUCAACAAUCCAAAGAUUGGAUUUUGUGAUUAUAGAGCAGGGCUCUGGGGCGUGCAAUAGCUCUUGUUGCUAUUACAUGGCGUGUGUUAGCCAUCCGUCAGCAAUCUUCAUCUCAUCGACUUUUCCAACUUCUGGAACGUGCUUUGGAUUAUCCCUUGAUGUCGUAUGAAACCUGAAACGCACCAAAAACAUGAAAACAACAUCACACGAACCAAGGGCCAAGGGUAACAAAAUACGCAUAAAACACCCCGGAUAAGAUCAAAGUGAGACAUCUAAACAUCCAAAAUCUUCAUUUAAAAUGGGAAUAAUUGUGCUAAUAAUCGAGCUCGUCACAUACUCAACAGGUCGUGCCAGAGCCUGAUUAUAAUAUGAGGGAUUGCGCAAUCCAUGGGUGGGUGACCAACACAUAUCAAGAACUAAUCUAGCUAAACUUGAUCCUGCCCUAAUCAUGAACUGUGCAUCAUAGUUCAAAUGUCAAGAGCUUAUGCUUGAAUCAUAAAUGCAUGUAUAGUAGAUCACACGAUAUUGUAGAGUUUGAGAGCUCCACUCUAUAUCAUAUCAUAAGCACUUGUAAAGUAGAACACGAGUUACUGUACAGUCUCGGACCCCUGCUCUGUAUCAUAACAUACAUACCUGUAUAGUAGAUCAUACGCUAUUUUAUAGUCUUGAGAGUCGGGCUCUGAAUCACAUGAAAUCCAAUCUUUGGAUUCCUGACAACCUAAUUACAGUACUACGUUUAAAGUAGAAACCUGUUAUGAAGAGCUGACAACUCUGAAAAGACUUGAUAUGAUUUCUCUUGCUGCCACGAGUCUGUAGCUUAUGACCUUGCAUCGUUUGGAGUUCAAACGAUCAAGUUAUGCUUCAUUUACUCCUUUGCAACAACAAUCUAAAAAUGCACCGACAGAAAUGUUACGCUAGUCACCCAACUGCCUCCAUUACACUAACUGCUCCGGAACUUCUAGUCGUUGAUAAACAAACCCAAGUCCUUAAUUGUAAACCAUCAAAGAGUUCAGAACUACGGAAACAAGACUUAAGAAUUGUCAAUUGCACAACAACCACUUAUCUUUCAGGACUUGCAGAUCGGUUGCCGAACUCCACCAACUUUGCAGGACAAUCACUCUUCUUCUUCGGCGAGGUAGCUUACCGCCGGCGAGGCUGCCCAGAUUCCGAAGAGGGUUUCCGGCGACGACACACCUCACCCGCAGCCUGGAGUGCACCUCUGAUUCGUCUGCCUCGAUUUCCGAUCACCUAGAUCGUCAUUCGACCGCCAUGGCCGAUCGAUCGAGUAAGGCCGCCGCUGCCGUCGCCAGCUUCCAAGCACCGAUAUUGACCAUCAGAUCUCCUUAGAACUUUCGUCGAUCUCAUUCAAUCGCUAAUGGACCUACAUCGACGAGGAGCCUCAGCUCCUUCCUAGAUCGCGAU
RNAcentral lists this long non-coding RNA (1623 nucleotides) under Linum usitatissimum (flax). RNAcentral describes it as "long non-coding RNA (LUSI_LNC003259)". The record is from RNAcentral. Lineage: Eukaryota; Viridiplantae; Streptophyta; Magnoliopsida; Malpighiales; Linaceae.